Long non-coding RNA from Centrocercus urophasianus (Greater sage-grouse), 5003 nucleotides. RefSeq lists it as uncharacterized. NCBI's taxonomy places the organism in Eukaryota, Metazoa, Chordata, Aves, Galliformes, Phasianidae. The record is from RefSeq and is a predicted model, not a curated record. The transcript is spliced from 2 exons.
GCAGAAUCACCUCCCUGGACCUGCUGGUCACGCUUCUCUUAAUGCAAACCAGUUUCAUUUUCUUCUUGUUGAAAAUGGCAUUAGUUUUCUUUCAAUACAAACAUUUUUCAAAAUGUUAUUUUUUCUAAAGUAAAUCACUCCCUAUGCUCAGUCUGGGGUGUAGUUUCAACUCUUAAAACUGGCAUUCCCUUGUACCUUGAUGACAGAUUUCUUAUCCUCGUUAAACCUGAGCCCCAAACUCAGACGAAAGUGAAAGGAGGUGUGAGGAGUGCAGCAAAGUCAGAGAGAGCACAGUGUGACGUAUGUAAUCCUUAUCCUUCAUACAUCAUUUGGAGCUUUUAUCACAACCUUGUGGCAACUCCUGCUUUCCAUGCUACCUGUGUCCUGAAGAGCAGAUACAAUCCCAAAAGAAAAUCUGAAGGCAGACAGUGUGCACACUGAGCAAUGGUAGAAAUGGAAAUUCAAGAAAGCUUUCAGGGAGCAGGCAGAAACAUAUUCAGAGAUCACAGAACAUGAACAGAAUACGACUGCAUUCUGUGAUCUAAUCUCAACAAAGAAUGAAGGGAAAAAGUAUGAAUCUUCAUAGCAACUUUGAGUGAAUCCUGAGCUGUGCUUCUAAUGAAAACAGAAUCAAGAGAGUACACUGCCUGAAGACAGGUCAGAAAUGGGAGAAACUACUCUGAAGUAAGAGAAUUAGUUUGCUGCAAUUUUUUUUUAGUUACCUUAGUGCAACCCUGUUUUAAACAAGAAAAGAGAGACAUUUUAAAAGGCAAACCAGCAGUCAGUGAAGGGAUGGGCUCAGUCUCUUGCAGCUUAGCUCGGAUAACAACAGCUGCUGAAUUUGUGGGGAAUUUGGUUUGGAAAAUGUGGGCCCAUGUAAUUGUGACUAACAGUAGGGAGGGUAAGAGUGGAAUGAGCUCACAAAUACAUUGUUAUGAGAAGUGUUGCAUUGUCUCUUUUGAAAAUAAUCAAUUUACAUUCACCCUCAUUUAGAACCUGAGACACAAAAAUAUGAAUACAAAAUGCAAUAUAAAAUUUAACCAAGCCUUGUAGUACUAUAAAAUCCCUUUCCCCACCUGCCCUGGCUCUACAUGCAACUUCCUCACAGGAGGAUGGUGUGCUUCAGUACUCCAUUCUGCAUGAAUUUCAAAAACACUUCUACCUAAAACUUCAUCCCUAUACUGCUCUCACACAUUAUCCCUACACUGUUCUUAUAUGCAGCCUUGGGCUCCCACCAUCAGCCCCUCACCGCCAUCUUUCAUCAGCUCCUCCACAGAGCAUUGCUUUUUGCAUCCUGUCCCCACCACGUUGCAUAAGGUCCUCAAAGUGACGGUGUUUGCUGAGUGUCACAACAUGGGGCAGAUACGUGGCAGCUCAUCCUCCUCAAUGAAGCAGGAAACACCGUGACUUUUACCAACACCUCCGACAAUGUGCCACUUGGAAGAAAAGAUCGCACUUGUGACCCAGUUUUGCAAAGUAACAUUCUUGAAAAACUUGAUAAAAAUAGAAAGCCUUACAGGUAAUUCAUUUUCCAUUUAUGUUUUAAAUUUGUUUCCCUGAAAAUUUAUUUUAAAAGUUUAAAAAAAAAGAGAGGGAAGGAAACACCCCACACACAUUCUAAUAUUUGGCCAUGAGGAAGAUAACUAAUAAGACUGAAGCACAUUAUAUUUCAUGCUAUAUUUUAUACUAAAAUAUUUUAUAAAAACAACUCUCCAAAGUGACAACAACGAAGAAAGAAAAAAAAGAAUUGCAGUAAACUGCCUCUGCCAAAUUUUAGGGAGCAAUCAAAGCAAGCAUGCCAGGAUCAGUCCCUCAAGUGCUUGAACGCAACCAAUGCUUUUUAUUGUCAUAUGAAUAGCCAUGAAUAGAGAAUGAGAAGAAACGUCCAUCUGAGGGCCAGAAAAGAAUGAACAUGUGCCGACCUAAAUACAAAAUUACUGAAGGCAUGCACAUAGUCUGGAAAUAUCAGAGCCUUCAGCAAAAUGCUUGUGGUUGUAAAACUAUCUGCAGGACUGAAAGCUUGCAAUGCCUGUAAAGUUGUGGUGUAACAAACCACAUUCAUCAGGCAACCGGCUCUGAUGAACACUUUUUCUCUCAUUUACCACAACUGAUUAUCUCUGAAAUUUGCAAUUUGACACAAGAGGUGGGCUUUGUCCUCACUCCCAGAGCUCUUCACCCAUUUUACAUCAGAUUGUCUGUGGAUAAAUGCAAAAUCAACUUGGGGAACAGUAAGUCCUGGUUCCCUCCUAGCAAAGACACUGUGGGAUGGAGCUCCAUCUCUCUUGGUCGCAGCAGGGACCAAAGAUUCCCUUCCCAGAUUGUUCAUCAUCAUUCUGGAAAAAAGGAGAAUUGAGACCUGCUGUCCCACUUCCUGAAAGACUGUGCUGGUUGCCAGGCUGUUGUGCAAAGCUGGACAGUACCAAGCUGCUGGUGGUUUCAGACAUGAGUGAUCUCACCUGCUGGACUUUGUGUUUUGAUGCUGUCACUACUCGUCACUCUGCCUGGAACAUGACUAAUGCUGCUGGCCGCUCUGCUGCCUGGAGAAUGUCUCUGCAGCCUAGAGCUUCUCAUUGUUUUAGCUUAACCUCCAAACUGAGCAUAAAAGUGCAUAAUUAAGUCCAUACAGUCCACAUAUAUCUUGGCUACAUUUCAGAAAGCAAUCUUUCAGGCAGUGUUCUUUUUGCUUGGAGGAGAACUCUUUCAUAUUCCUUUGGUGAGGCAGUACUUACGCUACCAGUCAUGCAAAUGGGGAGUGGUCAAAUGCAGUCACCAAAGGUAAGAAGAGCACAAGGUGCAGAACUGUAUAAAUCAAAACAAAUCUUGACAAGAUUUCAGUGUGCAAAACUGUUCUAAGUUCUCCUAAGGUGGAGCAGUAACUGCUGUUUAAUAGCACUGUCAUUAAAUAGUGAAAGAUUUCUUUUUAGGAUGACGCUUAUAGACAAAUGAGACAGAAAAUACAUCUGCAGAAAAACUGCCCCUUCCAGCUGGAAUCCUGUAGAUCUCCAUGAUCACUAUCUGAGCACACACCUGGGCAUACAGCAUCCAAGCUAGAACCACAGCUGUUCUGAGCAAGUGGCCUUGGCACAGGCGCCAGGCGUGCAGCACAGUGGUGCAGACCUGAGAUGGCCCGGCCUGCAGAGGCCAUUGCAGCGGUACCAGAGAGCUGAUCUGUGUGCCUGCGGUGGCUGUUUGCAGGUGAUGCCUAAAGAUCUGGAAUCAGCCCAAAUUAAACACGGGGAGGAAAAACGACAAUAACAACAGAAAAACAACAUCGAGAAGUGGUGAAACAGGGAAUAUUCACCUUUUACAACCAAGUAAAAGAAGAGAGCCUGACUGCUUUCAAAACACCAUGGAGCCCUCGGUUAUAGCACAGCCCUUGUUACAGCAAACCCCAAUUUAUGCUUUUAAUAAUACGCAUAAAGAGUUCCUAUUGCAUGGAUUGGAACACAGCUUCACUCCCAUCCCAUAAAUGUCCUGAACAGUGUGCAAAAGCAGGGCCAGUACAGGACUCCUUGCUAGUGUCUGCAGCAUCAUCACAUCCAGGUCUGACCUCCAGCUCUUUGCUAGAACUACCCUCAUAUUUACUAUUUGUCUCAGGCUGAACUAAGAGGUUUUGCCCAAACCAAAGAUGUUUUAAGCAUCUGAGCUCCAAAUUAUUUGGUCUGGGAUCAGUCCACAACAGGGAGUCAUUUUUUUUAAUCUGGUCACUGAAUCAAAAUAUCACUUUGUACAAUUGCCAAUUCCUCAGCCACACACAGGCACUAACAGGGUACAGAGGUUACUUACAUAACCUUCUUACAUCUUCAAUCUUUUUAAAAUGAAACAGUAUUUAUGUUAAGUUAAAUGUGCAGAUGCAUGGGACAAGGGGAAAAAUUUGGAUACGGUUAUCUAAAAUAUCCAAAAUCUUUGAAUCUCAAACACAUGGAUUUGGGAAUGGCCAAUAACAUACCAAUAAUUAGAAUAACAGAAAUUCUACGAUAGCAGAACUCUGGGGAAAAGCAUUUGGUUUUACACUGUUACAUUCAGUGUAUAUUGAGGUAAAACAUGCAUAAACAAAGUUGUAAUACUGUCUUUACACAGCACUACAUUCAUUUUCUACAAUCUAGGGUAAAGGUAAACAUUCUAGUUUACUGUACUAGAGGAAAAGUCACAAUCUUAUUUCAUGUUUGUAUUUUGAUAGCCUUUGUACUAUAUUUAUAGCUGACAUAACGUGAUGCUGUUUUUUCUUAUCAGCAGAAUGCACUGAGAAAAGGAAGAAAACCUCUGCUAGCCUCUGCCUCAGAAAAUAUUUUCUUUGUGUUUCAAGUUUUCCUGUAGAAAGGGAAGAUUGUCUGUAGCUACGCUGUAACAUUUCAGAAACAGAGGUCAUAAUUUAGAAUAAAGGAAAGUGCUAUUAGUCAUGCAGUAAGGUGACCCAUGUGUCCCUGCCAGACCCCUGCAGCACAACCGAUGACUUACCAGUGGCUACUCCCCACAGCCGCUCUUCUUGGAAUUGCAACAUCUGAUAUGUAAAACCCAUUCCUUCCUCACCAAUUAGGUUUUUGCUAGGGACUCUUACGUCUUCAAAAAAGAUCUGAGCUGUGUCCGAUGACCUCAUGCCCAGUUUGUCUAUUUUCUUAGUAACGUGAAUGCCUGAAGAAAAAAAAUAAAAGAGUAUUAGAAAGGCUACAAGAAAGAUAAAGCCAGAUGUAUAAAAAUAGUGUUUUUAAAAAGUGAAGUUCAGCAAGGAUAUAGCAAAACCUAUCUCUGGGAAAACAUUAUAGUAUUCUGGGAGGCAAAAAUAAAAUAGAUCACAUCCCAUUUCUAAGAGUUUUCUCGAUGUUAUUUGACUAGAAAAAUCAGAAAUCGCAACCUUAAGGAUCUUUUAAUUAUAUCCCCAAAUAAUAAUCAUUUACCAGUAGUAAUAAUCUCACUUCAGGCACAUCUUCAAAUCGUGCAUGAAGUGCUUUAUUUAUCUGUUAUGUUUGAUUUUUUGUGCACUGCAAUAAAGUGUUCAAAUUCAA